This 372-nucleotide ribosomal RNA is filed under the name uncultured bacterium. Its description in RNAcentral is "bacterial SSU rRNA". It matches the Rfam family "Bacterial small subunit ribosomal RNA", at positions 28 to 409 of the family's 1533-position model. The record is from RNAcentral.
GACGAACGCUGGCGGCGGGCUUAACACAUGCAAGUCGAACGAACGCCUUCGGGCGUUAGUGGCGCACGGGUGAGUAACACGUAGGCAAUCUACCCUCGGCUGGGGAAUAACCAGGGGAAACCCUGGCUAAUACCGCAUAACAUCUGGACGUCGCCUGGCGACCAGAUCAAAGCUUUAUGUGGCCGAGGAUGAGCCUGCGUCGGAUUAGCUAGUUGGUGGGGAACGGCCUACCAAGGCGACGAUCCGUAGCGGGUCUGAGAGGAUGAUCCGCCACACUGGCACUGAGACACGGGCCAGACUCCUACGGGAGGCAGCAGUGAGGAAUAUUGCGCAAUGGACGAAAGUCUGACGCAGCCACGCCGCGUGCAGGAA